Molecule: ribosomal RNA, 305 nt
Filed under: uncultured bacterium
Lineage: Bacteria
Description: bacterial SSU rRNA
Rfam family: Bacterial small subunit ribosomal RNA
Source: RNAcentral
UUUUCCUACGGGAGGCAGCAGUGAGGAAUAUUGGUCAAUGGCCGGAAGGCUGAACCAGCCAAGCCGCGUGAAGGACGAAGGUGCCAAGCAUUGUAAACUUCUUUUGUCAAGGGACAAAAUCAGGCUCGAGAGCCUGACCGAGGGUACUUGAAGAAAAAGCAUCGGCUAACUACGUGCCAGCAGCCGCGGUAAUACGUAGGGGGCAAGCGUUAUCCGGAUUUACUGGGUGUAAAGGGAGCGUAGACGGCAGCGCAAGUCUGAAGUGAAAGCCAGCGGCCCAACUGCGGGACUGCUUUGGAAACUGC